RNAcentral lists this microRNA precursor (170 nucleotides) under Triticum aestivum (bread wheat). RNAcentral's name for it is "MIR2118 microRNA precursor family". It matches the Rfam family "MIR2118 microRNA precursor family". Lineage: Eukaryota; Viridiplantae; Streptophyta; Magnoliopsida; Poales; Poaceae. The record is from Rfam by way of RNAcentral.
GUCAAGAAGAGGAAGAAAAGAUAGCAUGAGAGCAGUGGGAAUGGGAACAUGAAGGAAAGCCUAACUUGCUUUUUUUCACCUCUAAUGUUGGAGGUGAGAAUUUAGUUUGGUAUUUCCAGAUGUCUCCUAUUCCUAUUGUUCUCAAGCACUCCUUCCUUUUCUUUUUGGUU